Molecule: ribosomal RNA, 127 nt
Filed under: Escherichia coli
Lineage: Bacteria; Pseudomonadati; Pseudomonadota; Gammaproteobacteria; Enterobacterales; Enterobacteriaceae
Description: partial 23S ribosomal RNA
Rfam family: Bacterial large subunit ribosomal RNA
Source: RNAcentral
UGACUCNUUAAGGGUCCUGAAGGAACGUUGAAGACGACGACGUUGAUAGGCCGGGUGUGUAAGCGCAGCGAUGCGUUGAGCUAACCGGUACUAAUGAACCGUGAGGCUUAACCUUACAACGCCGAAG